This is a long non-coding RNA of Varanus komodoensis (Komodo dragon), 485 nucleotides long. RefSeq lists it as uncharacterized. The transcript has 2 exons. The record is from RefSeq and is a predicted model, not a curated record. Lineage: Eukaryota; Metazoa; Chordata; Lepidosauria; Squamata; Varanidae.
GGGCUUACGAGCUACCGGAAGAAGUCUGCGCUUCACUUCCCGUGACGUCACCCGUAGUUCCUCCUAAAGCCGACCGGGAAAUGUAGUCCCACGAACUAGAAAAGCUGAAUGAAGAGAAUAAGAGGUGGAGGACAGGAAGACCUGGAGGAAUGUUGUCCAUGGGGUCACGAUGGGUCGGCCGCAUCUCACAACUAACAACAACAACACUUUGAACUGUGUUAGACGUCUUUGCUGGCUGCUUAUACAGUGCUGCACAUCAGAGAUCUCCUUGCUUUGAGUGCAUAUCUGGCAAUCUGAAAAAAUGUUCUGAGCAUCUUCACAAAAAUGACUGCCAUGUGAGGUGCAGUUAAUCACAAGAGAAAUAACCAGCCCAAAAGACUGACGAAGAAAUGGAUUCUGCGCACCAACAAGCAAAAUUCUUCCUUCAAAUCCAGAGUUUUCUAUGGCAACAGAAACCUUAAUAAAAGAAAGUAAAUCUUUCCCUC